UACGUAGGGGGCAAGCGUUGUCCGGAUUUAUUGGGCGUAAAGAGCGUGUAGGCGGCCAGGUAGGUCAGCUGUGAAAACUCGAGGCUCAACCUCGAGACGCCGGUUGAAACCAUCUGGCUAGAGUCCGGAAGAGGAGGGUGGAAUUCCUGGUGUAGCGGUGAAAUGCGCAGAUAUCAGGAAGAACACCCGUGGCUAAGGCGGCUCUCUAGUACGGUACUGACGCUGAGACGCGAAAGCGUGGGGAGCGAACAGG
RNAcentral lists this ribosomal RNA (253 nucleotides) under uncultured bacterium. Its description in RNAcentral is "partial 16S ribosomal RNA". It matches the Rfam family "Bacterial small subunit ribosomal RNA", at positions 524 to 776 of the family's 1533-position model. The record is from RNAcentral.